This is a non-coding RNA of Xyrichtys novacula (pearly razorfish), 6362 nucleotides long. The record is from the annotation of a GenBank genome assembly. Lineage: Eukaryota; Metazoa; Chordata; Actinopteri; Labriformes; Labridae.
CUUGGGCUUCCAACUUAAGGAUUGGGUUAACAGAAGAAAAAAAAAAAUUGGAUCAAUCGCUUACAAUUGUUUAUGACUAAAAAGCACACAAUUACAUCAACUACAGGUCUUUCCCUGUAUGAAGUCUUGUAUUGGAGACCUUUCAGAUUGCUUAACACUGGCAUAUCUGACAACCUCAUAUGUAGACCAGGGAGAUAGCAUAAAACGCUAGAAAGUCAGACAAAAUAAUAAAACUCUGUAAGAAAAUGAUUAAAAUCAGUGUGAAAUAUUUAAACUUGGUUGAAUAUGUUAAUAAGUUUAUAGCAAAUUCAGUUGUACCUAAACUAAAAAGGAAGUUUUAAGUUUGCUUUCAAAAAUAUGGGGACUCUGCCAUCCUCAGGUCAUUAGGUAGGGUGUUCCACAGAUGUGGGGCAUGACAAAACAAAGCUGCCCCACCUUGAGUCUGUGUUUGUAUUCGAGUACUUGUACUUAAGUUUCAGUGCUCGACUUGAGUACUUGUACUUAAGUUCUUAAGUGCAAGUCCCUUUCAGUACUCAUUAACAUUAAUGAGAGUUACUGUUGAAUAGCCAGUACCACAGAGAGUUAUUGUGUAGAAAAGCUGAAGGUCAACUGCUUUCACUCCUUGGCUUCAGACAAGAAUGGCCUUGGUGUGAAAGUAGAGAAAAACAGAAGCUGAGAGACCUUCACUCCUGAGUGCAGUGAAGGUAUAUGUGUGAAACUGCAGAUGUUAGAUGACCAAUGAAAUGACUGAAAAUGUAUUGGUAAUUACCAUUGUUCAGUGAAAACAUGAAUGUAAAAUGGUGUUUAAAAGGGGAAAGACCCUAGCUUCCCAGAGAUUCUUUUUGACCAACUAGGACUGCUGUUGUGAGACUUUCUUACUAAGAAAGAAGAGUUCUGGCACUGAGUCGCUUUUUCUUUCAAGAAACAGAAAAUUUCAAAAACUGAUGUAUCUCAAUUUCAGGAACUUUCCCAAGAGAUAAGGAAACUUUAAAGGGCUAUCUUGAUGGCAGAAACCAGCAGUUUCAGGGUAACUCGUCUGCCACCUAUGAAGCCCCUCCUCAAGGACAGUACUUUCAGUGGCCCACAAGCUUUAAGGAAAAGGGCCUAAAGACAAUAAAAGGAGUCCUUAUGAAUAUGAAAUACCAGUUGCUGCAGGGAGACGACAGGGAGAAGGGAUGGUGAACCAUAUCUAACAACACAAUAUUAUUUGAUCAGUCACUAGAAACAUUUUGACUCCCUGAUAUGCAAAUUUCUUUCAUCUGUAUGUGCUUUUGGGUGUAAGCCAGUUUGUAGAUUUCGUCUCACCAGGAAAUGGUCUUGUUAACAUUACAAACUGAGCAGAAAGAGGGGCAGAUUUUAGAGACCAAAGGACAAAUAUCUGAUUCAGUAAAAGUUUGAUAAAUUUUGAAAUGAAGAAUAAAUGCCUCAUAACCUCUCAUCCAUCUGUGAUCCACAUACAGUCUGUCAGCCUUAAAUUCCUAAAACUUCCACAUGAUGGCAGUAGUUCCCAACCAACCUGAAGAGCAAACAAGAGAGAGGACUCACCCUGUCCCUCUAAGAUGAUGCCAAGGAUGGUCUAAGCAUUGGUGGUCCUCUUAAGGAAAUGUUGCAUGGCUUAUGGAUUCGGUUUCAAACGAGGGAACUUUCCAUCUUAUCGUAUUUCGUCAGAAAAACCCUAGCUGGAACUCUUUCAAUGUUUGUUAUUGACUCAAAUUUGUCUUCAUCUGAUAUGUGGGAUAAGUAGGAAAACGAUCAGCCUGUUUGGGGACCUCAUAAAACAAGCACAUGAAAGAUUUCCAUGUCUUUUUAAGGAGAAAAAACAAGGCGAGGGGAAGAGCUGCAGUGGUGUUUGUUAUCUUGAUUCUCUCUGUCUUUGCGUGUCUGAUUUAGAGGCUGAUAGCUGUGAGCAGUGGCCUCAGUUGCUGCUGUGGAGUGACGCAUUUGUUUCACCCCCUCCUCUUAUUGCUGCUGGGUCCAGGUCUUGGCUCAGUACCUGUCAAUCCUGAAGGCGCACCCCGUGGUCCAGCUGCCUGGUGUGAUGGUCAGCAAUUACACCUGGAGGUGCACUAUAUGUGUGUGUGUUUGUGUUUGUGUUUGUGUUUGUGUGGGCAGGGAUUCAGACAGGACUUCUGCUGGCUGAUUAAUGGAUCGACCUCCAGGCUGCCACAGCAUCGAUCUGUGUGUGAUUGGUGCAGUGCUUUGUUCAGGUCUUGGUACUUGUUUGUUGUUCAAAAAAAAAAAAAAAAAGGGUUUAUUUUGGUAAAUCUUUUCUCUUAGUCUACUUCAUUUUGUUUUAUUUGGUGACUUGGUCUGACUCCUGUACCUUCCUGGAGGGGAAACUGAUAAAUAAUGUUUAUUCAUAUCACAGUUCCUUGAAAGGCUUCCAAUAAAUUGUUUAAAAAGGGACCGUGAAAGUUUACGUUUAGAUAAGCUUUCAAUUUGAAAAGAGUGAAAAGUGUCCAUUAUAUUUAAAGAAAGAAGAGUUUAUUUAGAGUGUCCUUAAGUAGAAUAAAUAUUAAGUCUAGAUUUCCUGCUUCAAGGCUAGUUUCUCACGUGGUAAGUUAAGUGUCUUUGUACUUGAUACUUCAAAGUCUACACUAAGUUCCAAGGACAACUCUUAAUAAUUAAAAAGUGUGUGAAAGCAAUCAUAACUAUGAGCAGGGACCUUUUACAACAAAAACUAGACUCUUAUAGUUCUUGUUAAAAGUCAUAUGAAGCCAAAUAUUAGUCACGUUUACUGUUGAUUCAAAAACAAAAAUGAUUCGUCAAUUUUUUUGCAAUAAGGUUUCUUCUCAUAUCACUUUGAACUUUUAUUUUUUAGAAACUUGACUUGACUUGGACUUGUAGAGUGAAUUUGUCCUAAUUUAGGCCUCAUAAACAUUCUAAAUUGGAAACGUGACUGAAACACUGGCUGACACUUGAGAUUUUGCAGUGCGCUAUAAUGAUGAAGACAGCAAUAGUUUAAAAAAAAAAAAAAAAGCCUGUCACGAAUAAAUAUGUCCAUUAGUACCUCCAGCUCUUGCUAAAAAGAAGUCCACCCGACACUCCUGUGAAAAAAACUCCCUUGUGCACCUCAAAAAUCAAUCAGAGUUCUUUUUUAAUAAUUGACAGAUAACUCAAUAACUCAAAAUUACUGUAAUCAGAUCAUUUUAAUAUUUUAAUGUAAUUUCAUGAGGGCUUCGGGCUAAAAUCGUCCAAAUGAAAUAGAAAAUUGUUUUUAAAAUUUCAGAACAUUUCCAUAAAUUAAUUUUUCACUAUCUUAAAUAACUGAUGGAAAAAUUAAGCUUUUUCAAUUUAGGGGGCACUAGUAUCUUAAAAAGUUCCCAUUUGGGAUUGCUUAUUCAACCAGCAGUCAGAAAACUGAGAGGGUCAAACCAAACCAAACCAGCUUCAAUGGGCGCUGUGCACAGCUCCACUGCUUCCUGAACUUACGGCAGCUUCUUUAUUUCCUGUCUUACAUUAUUGGACAAACUGAUUAAUCCAGGUGUGUCUGAGUAGUCACAGUGGUCAACCACCUGAAUCGACCAGUUUGUCCAAUAAUGUAAGACAGGAAAUAAAGGAGCCGCCUUAAGUUCAGGAAGUAGUGGAGCUGUGCAUAGAGCCCGUACUUUUCACUUAAUAACAAACCAAAUCUGCCAAAAGCUCAACCAAUACAUGUGCAUAAAAACACAUAAAUGGACAUGAAGAAAACAAAAAAGUAAUAAAGAGAAAACUUGUUUGUUAUCACCUUGUUGAAAACUUACCCAGUGGUGUUACUGGGCUGGCCAAGCAUGGAAAUAAUGGGGCCUACCUCAGACCUGGAUUAUCUACUUUAACUUCUUAUAGACAAGAAUCCCAUUCAAUCACCAAUAAAAUAAAUUGUUCCACAGUGAGUUGUCAACUGUUGAAUCACAACCCACCAACUUAUUUCAACUGAAGUGCAGCUGGGGUGGAUGAUCAGAUUUCAGGUGUAGUCAUAGCCACCCCUGACCACCACCUGGCUCUGCCAACACAUCGACCCUCACUUUCAGACCUGAAUAUACACUGAGUGGUCAAUUUUCAACUACUGGACACAUCGAUAUUCACUUCAGUCUGUUUCAUAAGUGGUGAGAAAUUGCUCUCAUGCUGACUAUGAACCAACACCUGCUGUACGGAGGUCUGGCUGCAGACUAUUGGCCCUCCUUGGUCCUUUUUUUUACCUUCCUUCUGGCUCUUUUAGAAAAGGCCCUUGGAGACUCACAAUUUCAAAACCACAUCUUUAACCUUGUUGGAAGGUAGACUGAUCUCUUGACCAAGUUUUCAAAGCACUCCAAAAUGCUGAUCCUCUAUGUGCCUGACCCCUGACCUUCCCCUCGAGGUAACGUCUCCUCCAGCCUCCAUUAAGUGUCUUUUAUUUCCUCUUCAGUAGGAGUCAUUUCCAGUCUGCUGGGAGCAUAUUUGGGUACUUGGCUCCACAUGAAGAAAAGGGCAACCAGCCAAAAGUUUGGAUUUGGCUCUGACGGGACUUUGGACACAGCCUCUGUUUAAUUGAAGCUGUUAAAAGACUCCAGGGUGUGAGAGAGAGUGUUUGUGUGAGUUCGAGCCCUACUUAAAAGUGUGAAAACACAUCAAGGAUAAAUGUCAGGCUAUAGUUUGGGUGAAGUGGGAAUUAAAGGGUAAUCUUCAUCCUCAAGUCCCUCUCUGCGCCCAACAUGAAAGCAAAAACACAAGCUGACAGCCGCUGAUGACUAUCUAUCUGUGUUGACGUAUGUUCUAGUGUUGACUUCAUGACCCACCCUGAAGAAAUCAGAUUAGAAAAGUUGCUCACAUGAAUCAAAACAGAGGAAGCUGCGGCAAUUUGAUUUGCUCCCACGAGAAGGAAUUCUGGCUGGGAUCCGCUGUUGAGAGAAGUGACUAAAGUGUAAAUAUUUUAGCAUUUUUCCACUCAUGGGUGAAACUUCAAAGGGUCUCUGACUCGAAUAACAGCAGCAAUGGUGGGGGGAUGAUGGUGAGUAAUCAGUACGGUGAAUGAUUAGCAUUAAGAGCAUAUCUUUGUCAUGUAAACGCUGUGGUUGAAAUGGGCGUCAAUAGGCUAAGCACCCUGGCUUGCUGACUGAAAUAUCCUGAACACUUCAAAACACAAAUCCACAUUAUCAUGAGGAACUGAGGCAAAUUUAGAGAUAACAAAUCAAGAGGCUGGAAUUACCAGCAACACUUUUCUUCCAGCACACCUUCCUGAGAUGGACUUGCAUUUAAAGAGAGUGUUAGUGUUUUUCUGAACAGUAGGUGGCAGGAGAAAGCUUGCUACAGCAGCCAUCUUUUGGUUAACAGACACAGAGGAACAGAAUGAUGAGUAUGAACCCCUGUCUGUGAGUUCGAGUUUCCACUCAUGUUUGAUAUAACUGCCCUAAAAGAGACAUCUUGCUGCCGAUAUGUAACGACGCACAGCCCCAAUUAAAAAUGAUUUAUGAAAAAUACAUACUCAUAAAAUUCCCAUAAGGAGUUUUUUGAUGUUAAUGAAAUACAUUUAUAUGCAUAUUGAUGCCUCUCCAGUGUAUACAAAAGCAAAUAAGACCAUCAGGGAUAAGACUGAUGGUUUUCAUUUCUGUAAUUUUAACACCAUAAACUGAAGUGAGAGGGUAGGUGUCAGCCAAGCAGCUAAAGAAACAGCCUUUUUAAAAUUCCCACAUGAAAUAUCAACAAUAAUUUAGAUAUCUGUCGUAAGUUAGUAGGAUGGGAGUUUUUGGAAGGAGUAACUACCUGGGCAUGUAGAGGACAAGAACAGCAGUUACAGUUUUGUUGGCAGGGGGAGCACUUAUGCAUCCCUAUAUCACAGCAAGAGCUGGUUGGUGGAUCAUGGAUUAUGUCUGGUUUCUUCUUUGCUUUUGGCAGCAGUGCUAAGCCCAUACAGUGAUUUCCACUGCAGAGUCAUGUUUGUUUUCCAUACAAUGGCCUCCUGACUGCCCAAAGAUCAUGACCCUCCUGUAUUGUUUCGGGUUUUGUCUCUCAUGCAUAGUUUAAUUCAAUCACGUACUAUAAAUAAUACAAUUCUUUCCAAUUUGACACAGAGGAAAGUUAUUCUGAAAUUGUUUAAUUUUUUUGCUGAUAUCAAAUAUAAAUUGAGCGUAUUUGAUUAAUUCCAUAAAACAAAAAUUUCUAGUUUCAUCAUUUAGUCUGUCUGUCUAUCCCAACACCUCGAUUUGAGACCAUUUCCAUUAAAAACUUAAGAUAAAAAGCCUCCUCUUAUAAAUCAAAGUGGGAGCUGUAAAGCAGGAAGAAACUAAAACAGGUCAUGUCAUGUUAAGGUACACUCAGGUGGUCAUGUUAACCUGACAGUCAGGGUGACAACAGAGUCAAACACAAACACUCAAAUUAAAUAUCUGCAGGAAAACCAGACCUUCAAG